UACGUAGGGGGCUAGCGUUGUCCGGAAUCAUUGGGCGUAAAGAGCGUGUAGGCGGCCCGGUAAGUUCGCUGUAAAAGUCAAAGGCUCAACCUUUGAAUGUCAGUGGAUACUGCCGGGCUAGAGUCCGGAAGAGGCGAGUGGAACUCCUGGUGUACGGUGGAAUGCGCAGAUAUCAGGAAGAACACCAACCAGGCGAAGGCAGCUCGCUGGGACGGUACUGACGCUGAGACGCGAAAGCGUGGGGAGCGAACAGG
RNAcentral lists this ribosomal RNA (254 nucleotides) under uncultured bacterium. Its description in RNAcentral is "partial 16S ribosomal RNA". It matches the Rfam family "Bacterial small subunit ribosomal RNA", at positions 524 to 776 of the family's 1533-position model. The record is from RNAcentral.